AAAAAAAAAAAGAGAAAAAAUUGGAGAAAAGAUUAAAAAGAGAAAGUCCAUGUCAAAACUGCCAUAAAACUUCCAAUUUAAGAAAAAAAAAAUUUCUCCAGUCAUCUUCCACCGCUGAUAACAACCAUCUAACGCCGCAUCAGAACACACGCAUCACCUCAUAGAGAACCAAUCCACUAAAUCGCCACCUACGCGCCUCUGCGUGAAUACCACGUGCUGAAUGGAGACGAGUGGCGAGCGGCACAGUGGGCAAUUGAAAUUGCGAUGAUCAAGCCAUCCAUCAAAGCAUUCCUUGUGAAAGACAUGGCGGCAAUCAAGCUU
Molecule: unclassified non-coding RNA, 321 nt
Filed under: Hevea brasiliensis (rubber tree)
Lineage: Eukaryota; Viridiplantae; Streptophyta; Magnoliopsida; Malpighiales; Euphorbiaceae
Source: RNAcentral